AUCAUGACCUGAGCUGAAGUCCGAUGCUUAACCGACUGAGCCACCCAGCUCUCACAACCAUGUGGCCCUGAGUGUUUUCCCCGUGGCAAACGAAACCAGGUACCCAUGAUGCAGUGCCCACAUCUGGUGAACCUUACUUCCUAGAAGGGCCUCUCCGCCUUCUGUGUGGUUGGAUUUCCCUUCUGUCACGCAUUCCAUGUAGGCCUGUAAGCCUACAGGCCGCGGCCUUCUCGUUGGCCUUACCUCACUGGACUCAUGCUUUCGGUGCUCACCCACGGGGCCACACAAAUCAGAACUGCCUUCCUUCUGAUAGGUGACAGGUAUUGGAUGGAAAGGGUACCAUGUAUUUGCUUCUUCAGUCAUCAAUUUACAGACAUUUUUGGUUCUUAUGAAUAAUACUGUUGGAAACACUUGUGUGCAAGUUUUGUGUGAACACGUUUUUCCGCCCUUCAGUGUAUUCCCAGGCGUGGAAGGACUGAGUCAUGUCAGAACUUUCUGAGGAGCUGCCAGACUGUUUCCACAGCAUGUAUGACAGCUUCUACUUCUCCUAUCCUCACCAACGCUUGGGGUACCGUAAACAAGUUAGAGCCGCUCCAUUGACUGUCAGUGCUGUGUCCUUGUGGUCUGGCACGUGUCCUUGGUGUACAACAUAGUGAUUCCACAAGCCUGUCCGUUAUGCUGGGCUCAGCACAAGUGUAGCUGCCAUCUGUCACCACACAACAUAUGACAACGUCAUUGACUGUAUCCCCUAUCCUGUGCUUUUCAUCCUCGUGACUCACUCAUUCCAUAAGUGGAAGCCUGUACCCCCCACCUCCCUUCCCUCUGACAACGAUUUUGGCGUCAUUGGCUUUCUGCGUGAGAACCUUUGUGGUGGGGCCAGCCAGGUGCGGACAUGGACAUUAGCUGACUUGGUGGCAGACCCGCCCACGUAAGCAGGGUUGUAUAAGAUCACCAAGUCAGAGUUCUGAGUGGGCCCAGUACCAAUGGAUUAGAGGACACAGUGGAAUGUUCCAGAUCAGAGAGGCCCUUUGUAUCCCCGCAUGUGCCGGAGCUCCCAACAUUCUCUCCCCUGGGACCCUUUGGAGAAAGCAGAGUCUUUUGUGGGGCAGACACUCAGCAUCAGCGUGGAAAAACUUCCCUCUACCCUUCAAAAUCUAUUUUGGCUAAGUUGACAUGAGAACGAUUAACAGGAGAAAAUAAAAUUUAAUUUUGUGUGUUUAGAAACC
This is a long non-coding RNA of Leopardus geoffroyi (Geoffroy's cat), 1226 nucleotides long. RefSeq lists it as uncharacterized. The record is from RefSeq and is a predicted model, not a curated record. Lineage: Eukaryota; Metazoa; Chordata; Mammalia; Carnivora; Felidae. The transcript is spliced from 3 exons.